Molecule: small nuclear RNA, 184 nt
Organism: Trichechus manatus latirostris (Florida manatee)
Lineage: Eukaryota; Metazoa; Chordata; Mammalia; Sirenia; Trichechidae
Product: U2 spliceosomal RNA
Exons: 1
Source: RefSeq, a predicted model, not a curated record
AUAGCCUCUCUGCCUUAUGGCUAACAUCAAGUGUAGAAUCUGUUUAUAUCAGUUUAAUAUGUGAUACACCGUCUAUCCAGGGACAAGAUAUUAGCCACAAUAGAUGGAUCUUGAUAGAAUUCGAGAAAAAUGUGGAUCAGGGCCUGAAAUUCUUAAAAAAUCUGGAAAUACUGGACCAGUUCAA